This is an unclassified non-coding RNA of Bradysia coprophila, 817 nucleotides long. The record is from RefSeq and is a predicted model, not a curated record. Lineage: Eukaryota; Metazoa; Arthropoda; Insecta; Diptera; Sciaridae.
AUGUUUCUCAACUGGGAAUUUAUCGAAAAUUGUCGCCAUCGUGGUCGAAACGGUCGAGAACAAAAUCACAAAACUGACAGAAGUUCUUUCUUGUCAAACAACUACGGAGUGCAGACGUGCUCAAGGUAAGACAACAUGGUUAACGGUCGUAUACCUUCAGUCUUCUCGAAGACUUAUGUAACACCCAGACGUCCUUAUGAAAAGGCUCGUCUUGAUCAAGAAUUAAAGAUCAUCGGCGAAUAUGGUCUUCGCAACAAACGUGAAGUGUGGCGUGUAAAAUACACUUUGGCCAAAAUCCGUAAAGCAGCCAGAGAAUUGCUUACAUUGGAAGAGAAAGAUGACAAGAGAUUGUUUCAAGGCAAUGCUCUUUUACGUCGAUUGGUGCGUAUCGGUGUAUUGGACGAAUCCAGCAUGAAACUCGAUUACGUUUUGGGUUUGAAAAUUGAAGAUUUCUUGGAACGUCGUCUACAGACCCAGGUCUUCAAACUUGGAUUGGCCAAAUCCAUUCAUCAUGCUCGAGUGUUGAUCCGUCAAAGACAUAUCCGGUAAAUAUCUGAGAGACCACUUGUACACAGAAGAUGGAUGUUAUCCAUCUGAAUGUGCAACGUCUCCGUUCAAAUAAAUCUUAAAAUUGGCCACUUGAGUGGUGUGAUGUCAUAUCACACAGGUACUCUACGCCAUAGACAUUGCUUAUGACUAUUCUGUUCGUAAGCAAGUGGUCAACAUCCCAUCGUUCAUUGUUCGAUUGGACUCGCAAAAACACAUUGACUUCUCCACAAAAUCACCAUUCGGUGGCGGUCGUGCUGGUCGCGUCAAG